UGGGGAAUCUUGCGCAAUGGGAGAAAUCCUGACGCAGCAACGCCGCGUGGGUGAUGAAGGUCUUCGGAUCGUAAAGCCCUGUCGGAGGGGAAGAUGCCUGGAACGUCUAAUAGAUGAGCCAGGUGACGGUACCCUCAAAGGAAGCACCGGCUAACUCUGUGCCAGCAGCCGCGGUAAUACAGAGGGUGCAAGCGUUGUUCGGAAUUAUUGGGCGUAAAGGGAGUGUAGGCGGUUUGUUAAGUCUUCUGUGAAAUCUACGGGCUUAGCCUGUAACGUGCAGAGGAAACUAGCAGGCUUGAGUGUCGGAGAGGAUAGGGGAAUUCCCGGUGUAGAGGUGAAAUUCGUAGAGAUCGGGAGGAACACCAGUGGCGAAGGCGCCUAUCUGGCGGACAACUGACGCUGAGACUCGAAAGCAUGGGGAGCAAACAG
This 429-nucleotide ribosomal RNA is filed under the name uncultured bacterium. Its description in RNAcentral is "bacterial SSU rRNA". It matches the Rfam family "Bacterial small subunit ribosomal RNA", at positions 355 to 775 of the family's 1533-position model. The record is from RNAcentral.